Molecule: long non-coding RNA, 848 nt
Organism: Neocloeon triangulifer
Lineage: Eukaryota; Metazoa; Arthropoda; Insecta; Ephemeroptera; Baetidae
Exons: 3
Source: RefSeq, a predicted model, not a curated record
ACAGAUCAGAUGGUGGUUGUUUACCUUUUUACUCACAGAUUUACUUCGAGGCAAGUGCAAGUACACCGCGCAUAAACGUGAUAAGAUAAGAAGUAAAAUAAAACGAACGGUAAAUACCAUCGGUUUAUGAACAGAGAAGGAAUUCAACUUAUUCAUCCUCAGUAGAAGCAAUUCAUAUGAAGAAGAAAAACAAUGCAAUCGAUUUUCUUCUGUCUUCUCACAAAUUAUGUUUGAUUGAGCGGACAAGAUAAUGCGCCACCUUUUGCAGCGUGGUGUAAUAUUUGCUUCUUUUGAGCAACACAAAUCAGACUAAACCAGAUACAAAUCGAAUCCUCAUCCCGUAUUUGAUCACACAUCUCUGCAAUAUGGAUGAUCAAAGUGAUCAUGAUAUGCACGAAAAGCGAAUCAAACGUAAAUUUGCAGUAAAAAUCAGAGGCGCAAUUACAGCAGGACUAUUGCUGAUGCUGUUGCUGAUGAAAAUAGCAGCUGUCGUGUUUUAUUACUGUUUUGACUCAAACUCUGAUUGGUUUGAAGAUGACAAUUCCUAUAAAACUGUGAUAGUGUGCGUUAUUAUUAUCGCUAUUUUAAUAAUCGGCGUUUCAACUACUGGUUUUGUGAUUCACCUACGAGAGAAAAGAGGGACAGCUUUGACACGGCUGAAAAGAGUCCAGCAAAUUGACCUUGCCGAUCUUGGGAGUGACUGCAACGAAUAAUCAAUACCAAAAAUGGAAAUUAUAAUUUAACUUUAUACGUAAAAAUUGUGUGUAAAAAAAUGGAAAAAUUAAAAAGCUGUAAAAAGAAUUAAAAUAAUAUUGUAAUAAAAUGAUAUAUUCUUUGUACCCAAAUUU